This is a long non-coding RNA of Lycium barbarum (goji berry), 1279 nucleotides long. RefSeq lists it as uncharacterized. The record is from RefSeq and is a predicted model, not a curated record. The transcript has 2 exons. NCBI's taxonomy places the organism in Eukaryota, Viridiplantae, Streptophyta, Magnoliopsida, Solanales, Solanaceae.
CCAAAACGCUGUCUCUCUCUCUCCUUGUUACCACUGCCAUUUAUGGAAAAGUUUCAGGCUAAAAGAGCUUUCCCAGGCUUGACAUGGCCAGAACGACGAAGGCAUCAAAUGUUUCAACUCGUUUUCACAUAACACUGCCCAAACAUGGUAUUAUUUCUCCAUUUCCUUCAUCUUUUUACAAUUUCAACGGCAAUACUCUGCAAUUCCUUAAUUGUUUUUGGUUGUUUGUUAUUUUGAACUCUUGAUUUUCAUUGGUUUGUGAGGAACCAAGGGGAUUGACUCCACUUCAUUUAAAUCUGACCCUUUACCUAUUGAUUUACUCGAAUCUUGACCGUUAAUGCUCAAAAUGAGGCUUGAUUCUCAAAAUUUUGGGUUUGUCCCACAUCGGUUUGAGUCUAGGGUUUGUAAAUUUUGGGGUUCUAUUUGAAAUUUUAGGGUUCUAUAAAUAGAACCCCCAAAUUUACAUUUUACAGACACAGAAUAACAGUUGCAUAUUCAUACAAAAUCGAAAUACUUAAUUUUUGGCAUCUUUGUUUUAAAACUUUAACAGUUCGAGUUAAGUUAAAAAUUUUAAUCUUUUUUUUUCUAUUCUUGUGUGGGUUUUGUGUGUCUUUGAGCAUUUGGGGAACAAAUCGAGGUGUCCAAGUUCAAAUCUCUUCACGGCUGCACACAAAAGAGUCCAGACAGGCUGCUAUGUCUACUUGAUGUUUGUUUUUGGGCUUGAAUAAAUUCUCCAAGUGUUUGUUGCUACACUAUGUGCCAACUUAGUCUAUGUGUGCAAAUUAUUUAGGCUUCAAAUCCUUAAACACAUACUAAUCUUAUCCUUUUGCUUGGUGUGUUUGGUGUGCUUCAAUCCAGACAGGCUGCUAUGUCUACUUGAUGUUUGUUUUUGGGCUUGAAUAAAUUCUCCAAGUGUUUGUUGUUACACUAUGUGCCAACUUAGUCUAUGUGUGCAAAUUAUUUAGGCUUCAAAUCCUUAAACACAUACUAAUCUUAUCCUUUUGCUGCUGUAUGUGAAACUCACAUGGGCCACUAUAUCUGUUGGGCUGGAGGCCCAACUCUCUUCAUCAAUCGACUCUGUUAUAAAAAAAAUGAAAGGGAAGCAAAUAUUAGCAUUUAAAGACCCAACCAUGAUAGAAAAUGGUGAAGGCCCAGCUAUGGGUUAAAAAUGCUAACUGGUGGGCUUAGGUAGGCCCACCAGCCUAAACUCUUCCUUUAUAUUCAUUUUUGUGGAAAAUUAUAUUUUGGAAAACACGCUUGUGAAUUAUUAGAACCCUCA